GGGGCCUUGGCUCCGUGGUAGAGCCCCUGCUUGGCACGCAGGAGGUCGGAGGUUCGAUCUCUGACGUCUCCA
This 72-nucleotide transfer RNA is filed under the name Sphaerodactylus townsendi. RNAcentral describes it as "tRNA-Ala". It matches the Rfam family "tRNA". From Rfam's summary of the family: Transfer RNA (tRNA) molecules are approximately 80 nucleotides in length. Lineage: Eukaryota; Metazoa; Chordata; Lepidosauria; Squamata; Sphaerodactylidae. The record is from RNAcentral.